Molecule: ribosomal RNA, 1492 nt
Filed under: Lacticaseibacillus rhamnosus
Lineage: Bacteria; Bacillati; Bacillota; Bacilli; Lactobacillales; Lactobacillaceae
Also listed under: 1 other name
Description: bacterial SSU rRNA
Rfam family: Bacterial small subunit ribosomal RNA
Source: RNAcentral
GAUGAACGCUGGCGGCGUGCCUAAUACAUGCAAGUCGAACGAGUUCUGAUUAUUGAAAGGUGCUUGCAUCUUGAUUUAAUUUUGAACGAGUGGCGGACGGGUGAGUAACACGUGGGUAACCUGCCCUUAAGUGGGGGAUAACAUUUGGAAACAGAUGCUAAUACCGCAUAAAUCCAAGAACCGCAUGGUUCUUGGCUGAAAGAUGGCGUAAGCUAUCGCUUUUGGAUGGACCCGCGGCGUAUUAGCUAGUUGGUGAGGUAACGGCUCACCAAGGCAAUGAUACGUAGCCGAACUGAGAGGUUGAUCGGCCACAUUGGGACUGAGACACGGCCCAAACUCCUACGGGAGGCAGCAGUAGGGAAUCUUCCACAAUGGACGCAAGUCUGAUGGAGCAACGCCGCGUGAGUGAAGAAGGCUUUCGGGUCGUAAAACUCUGUUGUUGGAGAAGAAUGGUCGGCAGAGUAACUGUUGUCGGCGUGACGGUAUCCAACCAGAAAGCCACGGCUAACUACGUGCCAGCAGCCGCGGUAAUACGUAGGUGGCAAGCGUUAUCCGGAUUUAUUGGGCGUAAAGCGAGCGCAGGCGGUUUUUUAAGUCUGAUGUGAAAGCCCUCGGCUUAACCGAGGAAGUGCAUCGGAAACUGGGAAACUUGAGUGCAGAAGAGGACAGUGGAACUCCAUGUGUAGCGGUGAAAUGCGUAGAUAUAUGGAAGAACACCAGUGGCGAAGGCGGCUGUCUGGUCUGUAACUGACGCUGAGGCUCGAAAGCAUGGGUAGCGAACAGGAUUAGAUACCCUGGUAGUCCAUGCCGUAAACGAUGAAUGCUAGGUGUUGGAGGGUUUCCGCCCUUCAGUGCCGCAGCUAACGCAUUAAGCAUUCCGCCUGGGGAGUACGACCGCAAGGUUGAAACUCAAAGGAAUUGACGGGGGCCCGCACAAGCGGUGGAGCAUGUGGUUUAAUUCGAAGCAACGCGAAGAACCUUACCAGGUCUUGACAUCUUUUGAUCACCUGAGAGAUCAGGUUUCCCCUUCGGGGGCAAAAUGACAGGUGGUGCAUGGUUGUCGUCAGCUCGUGUCGUGAGAUGUUGGGUUAAGUCCCGCAACGAGCGCAACCCUUAUGACUAGUUGCCAGCAUUUAGUUGGGCACUCUAGUAAGACUGCCGGUGACAAACCGGAGGAAGGUGGGGAUGACGUCAAAUCAUCAUGCCCCUUAUGACCUGGGCUACACACGUGCUACAAUGGAUGGUACAACGAGUUGCGAGACCGCGAGGUCAAGCUAAUCUCUUAAAGCCAUUCUCAGUUCGGACUGUAGGCUGCAACUCGCCUACACGAAGUCGGAAUCGCUAGUAAUCGCGGAUCAGCACGCCGCGGUGAAUACGUUCCCGGGCCUUGUACACACCGCCCGUCACACCAUGAGAGUUUGUAACACCCGAAGCCGGUGGCGUAACCCUUUUAGGGAGCGAGCCGUCUAAGGUGGGACAAAUGAUUAGGGUG